GGACCCCCAAAAAUGACUAGUGUAAAACUAUUCAAACAGGAAAAUCAACGGUCUUAUCUAUAAUAAAACGAGAAAUGAGAAACACUUAUGAGUCAAUGAACAAAAUAAUACGGAAAAUCAGAUUCCUUCUGAUAUAGGACAGGUGCAAACAGUUGCAGCGGGUUUAAACGUUUUAAUAGGUACCAACCUUCGCCCUUUUCUGAAAACAUAGUGUAA
RNAcentral lists this long non-coding RNA (216 nucleotides) under Mytilus galloprovincialis (Mediterranean mussel). The record is from RNAcentral. Lineage: Eukaryota; Metazoa; Mollusca; Bivalvia; Mytilida; Mytilidae.